UUUCCGUAGGUGAACCUGCGGAAGGAUUAUUAAAAGAGUAUUUGUGCGUUAAGCGCAUAAACAUAAAUGCCGAGUAAAAAGGAUCAUUCCUUUUGCUCGUGACAUAUAUAAGCAUAUCUGAUUGUCUGAGUGUAAUUUUAAAAAAAUAACCUUUAACAAUGGAUCUCUUGGCUCUU
RNAcentral lists this unclassified non-coding RNA (176 nucleotides) under plant metagenome. Its description in RNAcentral is "partial contains small subunit ribosomal RNA, internal transcribed spacer 1, and 5.8S ribosomal RNA". The record is from RNAcentral.